RNAcentral lists this transfer RNA (73 nucleotides) under Lasius niger. It matches the Rfam family "tRNA". From Rfam's summary of the family: Transfer RNA (tRNA) molecules are approximately 80 nucleotides in length. Their secondary structure includes four short double-helical elements and three loops (D, anti-codon, and T loops). The record is from Rfam by way of RNAcentral. Lineage: Eukaryota; Metazoa; Arthropoda; Insecta; Hymenoptera; Formicidae.
GUCUGAAUAGCUCAGUGGUAAGAGAGCAGUCGCCCGACAAGCGAAAGACUCGGGAUCGAUUCCCGAUUUAGCG